GGAAACGCAAACGAGCUCUACCGCCUCUUGACGACUCCGAUGAGGACCACCAUGUAGAUUCUAUGGAUCUUCCUCACGUUCCUCCUAAUUUUCCUCGGAGCUCGUCUCAAUGUGAUGAAAUUGAAGGACCAGCUUUCACAGCCCGAAUGGGAAACGUUAUCAGCUCAGGAGAUAACAGAAAUGACACAACCUCAACCGUUUCCUCAGAAGCUGUGCUAUCCAGAAUGCAAGACGGUCUGGAUGGUCUCAGUAAUCUGGGUCAACCUUCAAAGAGGGCAAUUCCGGAUGC
Ornithodoros turicata is the source of this 289-nucleotide long non-coding RNA. RefSeq lists it as uncharacterized. The transcript is spliced from 4 exons. The record is from RefSeq and is a predicted model, not a curated record. NCBI's taxonomy places the organism in Eukaryota, Metazoa, Arthropoda, Arachnida, Ixodida, Argasidae.